RNAcentral lists this ribosomal RNA (505 nucleotides) under uncultured bacterium. RNAcentral describes it as "partial 16S ribosomal RNA". It matches the Rfam family "Bacterial small subunit ribosomal RNA", at positions 29 to 523 of the family's 1533-position model. The record is from RNAcentral.
AGUGAACGCUGGCGGUAGGCCUAACACAUGCAAGUCGAACGGCAGCACAGGAGAGCUUGCUCUCUGGGUGGCGAGUGGCGGACGGGUGAGGAAUACAUCGGAAUCUACUCUGUCGUGGGGGAUAACGUAGGGAAACUUACGCUAAUACCGCAUAGGACCUACGGGUGAACGCAGGGGACCUUCGGGCCUUGCGCGAUUGAAUGAGCCGAUGUCGGAUUAGCUAGGUGGCGGGGUAAAGGCCCACCAAGGCGACGAUCCGUGGCUGGUCUGAGAGGAUGAUCAGCCACACUGGAACUGAGACACGGUCCAGACUCCUACGGGAGGCAGCAGUGGGGAAUAUUGGACAAUGGGCGCAAGCCUGAUCCAGCCAUACCGCGUGGGUGAAGAAGGCCUUCGGGUUGUAAAGCCCUUUUGUUGGGAAAGAAAUCAGCUGGCUAAUACCCGGUUGGGAUGACGGUACCCAAAGAAUAAGCACCGGCUAACUUCGUGCCAGCCGCCGCCGUAA